ACAAACUUAUCAAUAAGGCAGCUUCAGUACUCUUAUCAUCUUAUCUUGAGGUUAUCUUGAGGUUAUCUUGAGAUGAUUUCGGGGCUUUUUAGUGUCCCUGCGGCCCGGUCCUCGACCAGGCCUCCACCCCCCAAGAAGCAGCCCGUGACAGCUGACUAACACCCAGGGGGUGUACAAGAGCCAAUAUGAACAAGCGGAGAAUAUUUCUUGCCUCUUAAGGUUGCCCUGGGAAGACGCCGGAAAAAUGAUACAAGGUGGAGACUCGGGUGGAGUGACGACGGCCCCAAGUACAGCCAGCAACCGGUCGUGGGUCAGUCCCGCCAGCAUGAGUCCCUCGCUCACCACCACCGAUCGCUGCACCUCACUCGAUGCAUCUGAAAAUGCCCGAAAUGCCUUAUUAUUCCACCGUUCUUUACAACAGAUGGGUGCAUUUCUCUCAAUACAUCAGAAACAAGAAUAUCCAUGCAUGCAACAUGUUCUGAACCAAACACUACUCUAGAUAAAUACAUUCCUUAGCUCCAUAGAUUUUGUCAUCCUGUCAUUCCUAUGUUCCGUCCAAAUCCACAAUGUGCUAAACACCCUUCAAUCAAUUUAGAUUCAGUGAAAGUAUAAAAAAUAUAAAGGCUUGCAUAAUGCAUCUUAACCAAUCAACUUUCAAACGUUAAUCCGUAGCUAACAGCUGUGUCUUUCCAUAAACACUUUAGUUUCUCCCUGAUAAAUGGACCCUGGAAAUACUUCUGAUGAUUAUCCAGCUCGUCCUCCUAAGGUUCCCCGACAUCAAGAAACUGUUGUACUAAAUUGCCCUUAUCCUAACCUGCAGAGGACCCAAAACAGAAAACGGGACAGUAUGUCAAUUUAGCAAGCCGCUAUCAUUUUCUAGUACGACAAUCUUCAGCCUUGGGUAGAGCACACGUUAGAAUACGACAUUCUAUUAGGAGGACGUGGUUGAAAUAUCUACAUCAAAUAAACAACACCCCACUAUU
This is a non-coding RNA of Procambarus clarkii (red swamp crayfish), 983 nucleotides long. The record is from RefSeq and is a predicted model, not a curated record. Lineage: Eukaryota; Metazoa; Arthropoda; Malacostraca; Decapoda; Cambaridae.